UUUUAUAAUAAAAAAAAAAUAAAAAAAACGCCCGAUCUCGUCAGAUCUCGAAAGCUAAGCAGGGUCGGGCCUGGUUAGUACUUGGAUGGGAGACCGCCUGGAAAUACCGGGUGCUGUAAGCU
RNAcentral lists this ribosomal RNA (122 nucleotides) under Cyprinodon variegatus (sheepshead minnow). Lineage: Eukaryota; Metazoa; Chordata; Actinopteri; Cyprinodontiformes; Cyprinodontidae. The record is from RNAcentral.